UGAGGAAUCUUCCACAAUGGGCGAAAGCCUGAUGGAGCGACACCGCGUGAAGGAUGAAGCCUUUGUUGGUGUAAACUUCUUUUCUCUCCGAAGAUAAUGACGGUAGGAGAGGAAUAAGGGGCGGCAAACUUCGUGCCAGCAGCCGCGGUAAUACGAAGGCCCCAAGCGUUAUCCGGAAUUACUGGGCGUAAAGCGUCUGUAGGUGGUCAUUUAAGUCUUUCCGUGAAACUCCAGGGCUCAACCCCGGAUUGCGGGAGAAACUGGAUGACUUGAGUGUGGGAGAGGCUAGCAGAACGGUAAGAGUAGGGGUGCAAUCCGUUGAUACUUACCAGAAUACCAAAAGCGAAGGCAGCUAGCUGGAACACUACUGACACUGAGAGACGAAAGCGUGGGGAGCAAA
This 400-nucleotide ribosomal RNA is filed under the name uncultured bacterium. RNAcentral describes it as "bacterial SSU rRNA". It matches the Rfam family "Bacterial small subunit ribosomal RNA", at positions 355 to 772 of the family's 1533-position model. The record is from RNAcentral.